RNAcentral lists this ribosomal RNA (253 nucleotides) under uncultured bacterium. RNAcentral describes it as "partial 16S ribosomal RNA". It matches the Rfam family "Bacterial small subunit ribosomal RNA", at positions 524 to 776 of the family's 1533-position model. The record is from RNAcentral.
GACGGAGGGUGGGAGCGUUAAUCGGAAUUACUGGGCGUAAAGCGCAUGUAGGCGGCCGAACAAGUCAGGUGUGAAAUCCUCGGGCUUAACCUGGGAAGUGCACUUGAUACUGUCCGGCUAGAGUUUGGCAGAGGAAAGUAGAAUUCCCGGUGUAGCGGUGAAAUGCGUAGAUAUCGGGAGGAAUACCAGUGGCGAAGGCGGCUUUCUGGGCCAAUACUGACGCUGAGGAGCGAAAGCGUGGGGAGCGAACAGG